CUAGCCCCUCUCCUCCCUCAUGGAGUGAAGCCACCCCUCACCUCCAGGUGGCCAGCCAGGGCUCCAGGCCAGCCUCAUGGUGCACAGAGGGAAGGGGUGCCCAGUGACCACUGGUCCUGGAGGUUCUGUGUCCUUACCUGACCCCACACAGACCCAGGCAGGCUGGGGGUAGAAGCUCAUGCAGGAACUAAACACUAAGCUCAACAACUUCACAGUCGCCGUAGCAGGUCAGAGCCAAAGAAGCUAGGGCCAGAGAGUUCUGGAAGGGGGAGAAGUGGCUCCAGGUGACUGGUCACUUCUGCUCUGUGCCCGACAUCAUCAGCCCUUCUUGCCAAAAAGGAGCAUCUGCUGAAACAGACCUGGAUCAUCGAAAACACACCUUUGGAAAUUACAUUAGGAUUCUCACUUGUGCCAAUGCUAUGUAUGCCAGGCACUUUUGCCUAAUCAAGUGUUUUCUCUGAGAAGGAAAAGAAAACUCCACACAUCUUAAAAUACUCUCCAAUAUUUACUUUUUGAUUAUAUAAAUUCCUUUUAAAAAGUAGUAUUAAAAACAAAACCAUUCAGGUUAAUUUGUAUGGAAAGAGA
Molecule: long non-coding RNA, 585 nt
Filed under: Homo sapiens (human)
Lineage: Eukaryota; Metazoa; Chordata; Mammalia; Primates; Hominidae
Description: non-protein coding lnc-DNAH10OS-2:1
Source: RNAcentral